RNAcentral lists this long non-coding RNA (17506 nucleotides) under Nicotiana tabacum (common tobacco). Its description in RNAcentral is "long non-coding RNA (NTAB_LNC011829)". Lineage: Eukaryota; Viridiplantae; Streptophyta; Magnoliopsida; Solanales; Solanaceae. The record is from RNAcentral.
UCCCUCCCCAUCUCCCAUAAGAGUGUCCGAAACCGCCCCCCAAAUCUAAAACAAAUCUUCAUUCUUCUCCAUCUCCCUCACCUAUCCCAAACCCUAGCUGCCUCUAAAUCCCUCAUCCCCACUGGCCGGCGUUGGCGCACUAAACACCACCAAUCACCUCCAAACCUUCACCCUAUAAUCUCCAACUCCUCCCCAAUCUAAACCUCUUAUUAUUUGCUCCGAAAUCUUCACCAAAAUCAACAUAUUAUAGAUCUAAGAUUCCAAAAACUUGAGUUCUAUCCACUCUCAGAUUCUUCAUGAUUUACCGCGUAUUUUGGCUCGAAACUCAAGUUAAUCGAUUGCUCUUAAUGAGAGCUAUCAAGUUAUGUUAGCUUCGAUCCAUUUCGAAGCCACAGAAUCCAUUCGAGUUUUGGUUGGUUGGCCCGUUUUUCUCUUCCAAAUUGUUUUUAGUCGUGUAAUGCCUCCAGGUAUAACUCUUCUCAUUAUUUCCCUUUAGUUUCUAUUUGUUCCUUCACAGUCAUUUCCCUCUUCUUCUUUUGUUUGAUUUCAGUUAUUAUUUCGUAUUUUUAUUUUUGUUUAAGAAUUGCAUGUUUAAGUCGCUUUGCAUUUAGUUUGUUUUACAACAGAUUAUAAUACUUAGUUAAUCAAGUUGAUUUAGGAUUAGUACAUGUUUUGUAUGUCUAGUUAGUAGUUCAGUACAAGUUAAUUAGUUUAAUCAUUUUUUUGAAUUAAUCAGAUAUCAAACCAAGUUGUUGAUUGAACAGUUUGGUUUUUGCAUUUUUUUUGUUCUGAUUCGUAUGGCUCUUGUUAGGGUUCAUUUGUUUUUUACCGUGAAAAUGGUAAUAACAAUUAAAUUUGAUUUAGUAAUUCUAAAAAUACAUGGUCUAUUUUUAUGCUAGUUGUUAGGCAGUUGAUGCUAUAUGAAAGACUUAGAAAUGAAAUAAGAACUUAAGAACGAGGUGUUAAUCAAACCGAAUCACUAUCUAUUGGGGCCUCGAGCUUGCCUAUCCGAGGGCCUCGAGGUCGAUUUUGAAGCUCGAUUGGCAGCUAUCUAAGGCGGUCGAUGGCGAAUAACAGUUAUAAAUGGAUCAAGGGUGGCUCUUUAUGGCCAAUAAUAAGCAAUACAUGACGAAUAAUGAGUAGAAUCACAAUAAAUGUGAGCAUUGAAUGAAGUAAAUGAAGUGAUAAGAUCAAGAGAAUAUGUUAGAGAUUAGAGAGAAUGUUCUUGUAUAUUUAGUAUGAAGCAACAAAUGUUUACAAAAUGACAUGGGUCCCCUUUAUAUUAGAGGGGGAAUCUAAACAUAGUACAAGUGCAUUUAUUACAAAGAUAUGGAGAUGAUACAUCUAACUAAUGCCAAGAUACGGCUUAGACUGGCCUGACAGAUCUUGUCGGUUCCAGCUUCAUGCCUUGGGAACUCCCCAUUUUCUUCCCAUAACCGUCGAUCCCACACCGCCCCGAGGUCGAGCAUCGAUGGCCCUCGAUGGGUGAGACUCGACUGUUAUUUCGAGCCUUCGAGACGUUAUAACGAUGGAAAAUUGGACCCUCCGAUUUUACCGUAUACAGAUAGUCCCUGCAUUUCUUAGAGUAGAAUGAUAAAAAAUGAACUUGAUAACCAUCUUUCUGAAUUUCCCGCGAUAGCGUUAUACCGAUGGCGUCAUACACGUAACAUAGGCUUUUAUGACAACCCAUAUGUCCCGUCGUUUCAACAUUCCAGAGUCAUUCAAAGCACUACCGUUUCUUCUUCUUUAAGGUAGUAAUAUCGUCGUCGGUUCAGCUCCCAAGGACGCAUUAAAUGCGCCUGCUAUUACGUCUUUCAAUGACAAUAAUGGUGCCUGUUGGUUACGCUUCUGCCCCUCCUAUAAAUGGGGGCCUCCUGGAACCAUUUGUUUUCAAGUGUUCUUCAAUCAACCUUCCUCAAAAUUUCUUCUUUCCAUCCUCAUCCGCUGUCAUUUCCCAUGUCUGAGGCCCGUGGCCUCAAGGCUAUCUGGUGGCGUUCUGAUCAGUUAUGCCAUGGUUUUUUCCUGGGGCUCUUCCCUGUUAAGCGAGACUAUACCAGCUUAUUGUUGUUGUUGUUAUUGUUAUUGUUGGCCUGAGAUGAGGAGACAUGGGAUCGAUUUCUCCCGACUUAGGAAAAUAUUUGGACUUUACAUCGCUGCUCACAAGGGAGUUCGGACUAUGCACCGCUGCUCACCUCCCCAGACUACCCGGUGCGACGCCUCACUCCCUUUGUAUUACGUGGAGUGAGGUGGUACUAUCUACUAACUGUUGCCUCCCUCACCGGGGCAACAACGCAAGAAGUUUCUUUACAAUAGUAGCACUGGAAAAAUCCAUACUAGCCAAAUUUUUUACUCAGCCACUUCUUCGUUCCUUUCUGCCUUUUUUGCGUCACUUUGCCCUUCUCCACCACUUUCCUCUUCUUCAUCUUCGCCCUCAGAGAUACCAUUCUGGAGGGCUGAGAUGAGACUCCCGGGGAGGUGGCAUUCGAAGAUAUUGCCACCGAGGAUGCAUCCUCAAGAGUAGGCUAGGCUCUAGGUUUUUACCGUAUGUGUACCUUUUGCUUCUUUGUUUCUGUGUAAAGACCCCUUGCGGGCUUUUGUAAUCAUAUGUAAGGACCCCUCAUGGGCUUUUGUAACCAAAUGUUUAUGAAUGAAAAAUGUUCCUUUAAUUUGUCUCUGAUGCACACUAUUUUCUCUUCAUCUAUGCUUGUGUAGAAUCUAAGUGCAUGACCCCAUCGGUCGAUGCAAAUAUCGAGCCCGGGUUGGACUGAUAAACUCGGGUGAUCGAAAUCCUAACUGAGAGUAAGGCUUCGAACUCCUAAAUUAAGAUUUAGCCUUUAGACCCUGCGAUAACCUUCGAGGGAGGAUUCGCUCGGAAGCUCGAGAAUGGAGACUGCCUUCAGGCUUUCGAGAGCAGUCCCCGAGUGAGGGUUAACUCAGGACGUUCGGAAACUUGUCUUGAACUUAGUGUACAUGGCCUUUAGGCGUUGUAGAUAGGUCCCGAAUGAGGGACUGCCUGGGUAUAGAUGGUAUCCAUAGGACAAGCCCAUACGAAUAGAGUUUUUAAGUACUUGUUUUUCUCCUUGAGAGGAGCCUUCGAAACCAGGUACCAUCAUGAGUCUUAUAAUGACAUCGACGGCCUCUUGGAGAGAUCCCCGAUAUCGGAUACCACCUUGGGUCUGGUGGUGAUGCUAAAAGGCAUCAUGGAGUCUAACCUCAUUUUGAUUGAAGUCCUCGAGAUCAGAUACCAUCUCGGAACUGGUGAUGAUGUCAAAGGCUUCCUGGAACCUAGCUUUUUUUUAUGGAGGUCCUCGAGGUCGGGUACCACCUCAGGACCAGUGAUGAUGCCAAAGGCUUCAUGGAGCCUAACUUCUUUUUGAUGGAGGUUCUCGGGGUCGGGUACCACCUCGGGACUGGUGAUGAUACUAAUGGCUUCCUGGAACCUAACUUCUUUUUGAUGGAGGUCCUCAAGGUCGGGUACUACCUCGGGACUGGUGAUGAUGCCAAAGGCUUCAUAGAGCCUAACUUCUUUCUGAUGGAGGUCCUUGAGGUCGGGUACCACCUCGGGACUUGUUUGGUGCGUGGGUCUCCAACCUCAAAACGUCAUACGAUGCUUGUCAAAUUGGCGACACAGUUGUAAAGUGACCGAGGAGAUCCUGCCGGUACAUCUUCCCAAAGCGAUUUCGGCUAGCAUUUUAAUCAGCCUCUAGGGAAGGUGGAUCUCCGCUGCUUUUUCCAUAUAUAAAGCUGCUUCCGCCCUUUUGGAGAUUCUCUCAUUCUGAGAAGUUACCCUUUUUUGCUGCAUUAGACUUUUCAUUAUUUCAGUAUUGACGCUCUGGUCUAAAUUCCUGGUCCAGUUCUCCAAUUUUGUUGUAGUUAUGAAUGCUAUAUCAGGAUCCGUUUGGCAAGGAGGAGAGAGUUUCGCCCCCGUUCUUGCCUUGUUGGCUCGGAGCAUUUUGCUUCAAGAGGGGACUUUUCACCAGAAAAGUACCCCGAUGCAUAGGACCAACAGGAGCAUAUCUUGGAGUUUACUUCUUAGAUAGGAAAGGGACACCUUGAGUCGGUUAGGAAAGACUGUGGAUGGGGGGAAAAGGUGGUACUACAGGAAUCUUCCCCGGAUGAGAGUAUUACGGACCGUGCCGAGGAAUUUCUGAAUAUGUUCACGUACCCCUUCACACUAGGCACCCUUAACAGGGUUGUGCUUGACUUCUAUCAAAAAUAUCGGGCUACCUUGGCCUAGAUUCACCCGUUAUUUUGGCGGAUAGUGUUGAUGGUGAGGUUCUUUGCGGAGAAGGCAGGGCUUGAAUUUUCACUUAACCAUCUUAUCAGAUUAUAGCGGCCCUUUCAUCAUCGAGGUUUGAUAACCUUAUGAUGUCGGUCGGCCACGCCUUUCAUUCUCGAUGAUGAAGAAGACAAUGGUCGGGAGUGGAUGAGUCUAUUCGUCCGAGUGCGAACUGCAGAUAUUAUCCCCGUGGAGUUUAUGCCGUUCCCUAAGGAAUGGAAUCAUACACGUAAGUGGUAUACUUGUGCCUUCACAGUUCUUCAAUUAUGGCGAAGGGGUGUGCCGUAAGUAUGCCUUUUUUUCUUUUUCUGCAGCGAUUUCGUGGAUGCCGUGCGAGGUUCCCGAUCUGUCGGAUUGGGUUCGGAAGUUGACGACCCACUCGACUCGCAAUGAGCGUAGGUGGAGAGCUUUGUCUAAGGAUAUGUGGGAGGCAAAAUACCACGGUAUGUGCCGUGCGAUUUGUUCCCUUCUUUUAGUUUAAAAAACAUUUGCUCUUUCUCCGUGCUAACCCUGUUAUUGUAGGCAUCAGGGCCUUCCGAGGUGAGGCGGCGCCCCCUUGGGGAGGGGGGGAGAAGGAUCUCUACCUCCUGGGCUAAACAAUGAUAACAAUAACCAAGAGAUACCUUUGCAGCACGAUGGCGCUCGGUGCAAGGCGAACCUGUGACGGGGGCUUGGAACGGAAGCGUUGAUCGAGCCUGCCGCGCCCGUGGUUUCUGGUUUUGAAGAGGCGUCUUAUCCUCCUCUUUUGCCUUCUUUUUCCAUCGAAGGUAAUUUAAGGGAUACUCGAAACCCAGGAUCAUAUGCACUGAGCGACCGUGCCUCGACCGGGGUUGACUCUUUCGGAACUGAGGGAGCUAGGUUAGCAGAUGUGCACUCGACCUUCGAGGAAGCAUAACGACUUCACUAUGGGUGAGUUUUUGGCAUGGGCCUUUUGAGUUCCGUGCCUUCCAUUCCUUACUGAGUUUUCUUUUGCAGACCAUCGAUAUGCUUAAGUUUGAGAUGCUUUGCCAUGAGGUCAGGCUGCGGAAAGCUCUGGAUGAGGAGAAAACCCUGAGGCGCCUUCACGAUGAAAGGGAAGUCGAAUUGGCAUACUUGCAGUGUGAGGUGAGUCAUAGCUUGAAUUAUGAGAGCUACUUGAAGGAGUAGGUAGUUUUUGUUCCGAGUGAGCGGACAUUCCUCCUUCUAGCCCCAGAAACUAAUGCUUUAUUUAUUUCAGUUGCAGAAAAAGAUGGAGGGCUUGGAGCACCUUCGAGAUAAGGCUGGCCAAGCCAAGCACAAGUAUGAUGAGUUAAAGGCUCAGGCGGAUGCUCAGGCUUCGACGAAGGAGGGUGCUCUAGCUAAGGCUUUUGCCCUUGAGGUUCAACUUCGCUUAGCCCAUGACAAUAGCUUGGUUCAAAAAGAUACGAUUGCGAAGCUCGAGACCGAGCUCUCAAAGAUAAGGGCCGAGAUUGUGGAUGCCUGAGCUGAAACUGUAAUGAGCCGAACUAAGGCUGACCAGAAAGUGGCGGUCUAUUUGAAGGACGCUGCCGAUGCUCAAGCUAAAUUGAGAAAGGUCCUUGACCGUGAAGAUAGGAGCAAAGAAUACGCUCAGUGUAAGUCUCGACGGAAAACCCUCAAGGAGAUCCGUGCUAGGGGAUUUGACCUCUCGAAAAAGUUGUCGCAGGCGAGGGCGGAUGAGUGUGGUGCUAGUUGCUUCUGUCCGACUCCGAGGAUAGCGAAGACGAGGCUGAUGAGCCAUAUCCCCCAGGGGGGAUGUAGAUUUUGCUUUCCGAUUCUGUACGUAGUACUUUCGAAGUAUGUUGUAAAUGGAGUUUGUAUUUUUCCGUAUGUAUAUAUAAAGAAGAAACCUUGCGGCUUUGUUUCUCCUGCAUUUCUUUUCGCCUUGACUUUAGCCAAAUGAAAUGGUCUCUAAGCAGAGUGGAAUCCUUAGAUUCAUGGUAUGGUCUUGAGGCUCAUUGGGUUGGCCCGUAGACUCUUACACGCUUUUGCUCUUAUGUAUAUUUAGGCCAACUGUUUUGGGAUCAGUCCCCGAGUCAGGCAUUGACUCGAGCUUAUUUGACCCUCAAGUUGUCAAAUUUUAGGCUGACGACAGUGGCUCUUACACUUUUGUUCGAUGCGACCCUUUAGUGUAUGUGGGCUGGCGACAAUGACUCUUAUGCAUUUUCCCUUAGGCAUAUUUAAUAAACUGUUUUGGGUUUAGUCUCCGAAUCGGGUUACGACUUGAGCUCAUUCGACCCUUAAGUUUUUGAAUUGCAAGCUGGCCCUUAGGCUAUUACGAGUUGGGUCGGUGCGACCUUUUAUGUGGGCUGGCGAUAAUGGCUCUUACGCCUUGGGUCGAUGCAACCUUUUAUGUAGGCUUUAUUUUUCCCUUCGAUAAGGAUUUUUUGNNNNNNNNNNNNNNNNNNNNNNNNNAUAGUGUUUUCCCGACUCUUCGAUAGCUUAAUAAAAGACCUCGAUUGUGAGUCGUUAUAUGGCGAUGAUCGAGCACCUCGGGAGGUUUGGCUCGGAGGCUGAGUAUCUCGAAGCGGGUGUGUAAGAAUUGACAUGGUCAAAGCUCUUUUGCCUGUAUCGAGGGUAGCCUGUUUAACCGGUUCUUUUUGAAGUAUAUUCGGAGUAAUUGAAGGCCUGUGAUUUAUAGCAACGGUCAGGCGUCCUGAGUCGCAUUUGUUUGGCUGGUACAACCUUGUGACUGGAGUCAUUUGUAUUUUGUCGAAGCCUUUAAGUCCCGAGUGAAGUAGUUUCGGCAUCUAUAUCAAGGUUAUGCCUUUUUAGGGGUCUUACAAGUUCGAUAUAUAGUCGAAACUUUGAGAUCGGGUUGAUGCCUUUAGUAAGGUCUUACAAGUUUUUCAUGCCUUUGAGGUAUUACAGUUUUGGAUACUUGGUACAAGUAUGGUUCAUGCCUUGCUUGAGGUUUUACAAAUAUUGUUGUUGCCUUAUAUAUAGGUCUUACGAGAUCGAGGCUGCCCGCAUGUAGCCUUAUGGCCUCGGGUUUUGAUAAGUCAAUGGAGAUGGCGCUUGACGGCAGUCCCCGAGUCAUCGACGUUCCUUGACUCGGGAGCCAUUACUUGUAAACUUGGUAUUGCCUCAUUGAGGGCUCAUAAUUUCGGAAUUUCCGACCCGGAGGUCAUUUGAGUUUUUGAUGCCAGUCCCCGAGUGUUCGGGUCGCCUUUCGGCUUUGAACGGUUCUGUGAUCCUUUUGUUGCCUCAUUGAGGGCUUACAAUCUCGAAGCUCUGACCUGGGGGUCGUGUUGUUGUGAGUUGUUGAUGCCAGUGCGCGAGUGUUCGGGUCGUCUUUUGGCUUUGGAGCCGUUUUUUGCAAAAAAUGUCGAUCUUUCUUGACACGCAAAAUGCUUUAGUGAAGUAUUCUUUGAUUACUUGGUGUAAGUAUACAUAUCUUUGCUAUUUGAGGGCUCAAUUGUUCUAUAUGGACAUGGUUCAUUUGACCAUUUGGCCUGGUACAUUAUCUUCCUAUCGAGACCCCUCUUGAUGCGUCUUGGCUUUCUCCGAAUAGGUGACCUCCCGAGGGGAUGCCUCCCAGUAUUCGAGGUUGAUUGCAAAAGGAAGCCUUGAAUACUUAUUGAGUCUUCCUUAGGUAACAUAUGGAUGUUAUCCUCAUUAAAAACCUUGCUGGUAAAACCCUUUUUGGGAUAAAACCCGGUCGAAGGAAAAAAGUGCAACGCAUGCUUUUGAAACCUAAGGCGUUCGAUUUCGAAAGUGUUUUAGCCGUUUUGAUCGGGUACCUGCACUCGGGUCGGUGUAGAAUAUAAAUGAAAGAGGAAGGAAACGGUCAUACCUUAGCGUACGAUGCGCCGACGAUGUUUCGAGCCCUGAUACGUUUUAGUUGCUUAUGAUGAGGACGCGGUACGGUCCCCUACUUUGUUUAGUUGGGAUAGCCGGGAGUGUAGUUUGUUAUUGUCAUUUUAAUGUUUGCUUAUCCUUCGACUCUCUCGAAGGUGGAGGUGUUAGUGUCAGGGCCACAUCGUGUAUCGCAAACAUUUCUUUCACUGCAUGCUAUUCCCCGUAGAUGGUCUUAAUCCAAUCUUUUGUGGGGAAUUUCAUCAUCUGAUGGAGGGUGGAAGGUACUGCUCUCAUGCAGUGUAUCCACAGCCUUCCGAGCAAGGCGUUGUACCUCAUGUCUCCCUCAAUGACAUGGAAUUUGGCAUUUUGGAUUAUGCCGGCCACGUUGACUGGAAGGGUGAUUUCCACUUUUGUUAUUUCGCUCGCCAUGUUGAAUCCGUUGAGGACUCGAGAGGCGGGUAUGAUUUGGUCAAGCAGUCCGAGCUGCACUACUACCCUCGACCUGAUAAUGUUGGCAGAGCUACCUGGACCACAAGUACGCGUUUAAUCUGAAAUGUAUUUACAAGAAAAGAGAUUAUCAGUGCGUCGUUAUGGGGCUGAGACAAGGUCUCGAUGUCCUCGUCGCUAAAUGUGAGGGCAUCUUCGGGUAUGUAAUCCUGGGUUCGCUUUUCUCUGGUGAUGGAUAUUUUUGUUCUUAUCAUCAUGGGCUCUUGUGGGGCAUCGAUGCCUCCUAAGAUCAUGUGGAUGGCAUGUUUUGGCUCAUUCGCUUCGUUCUUCUUGGCUGCUUCUCUUUCUCGAAACUAGUAUUUGGCUCGAUCGCUGAGGAAUUCUCGUAGGUGACCUUUAUUGAGUAGUCUGGCUACUUCCUCUCGGAGCUGGUGGUAAUCCUCUGUCCUGUGUCCGUGUGUGUUGUGAAACUCACAAACUAAUUUAUGAUUUCUUUGCGAAGAAUCUGAUCGCGUAGGCCUGGGCCACCUGGAGUCUCUGAUUUUACUUAUGGCGAACACGAAGUCUAAUACAUCUACGUUGAAGUUAUACUCUGACAAGCGAGGUGCCUCUACUAGCCCUGUGUUCCUGUCGAACCCGGCUCUGUUGACGAAUCCCCAGGGGUUUUGGCCUCGGUCCAUCCUUCGGUCAUUGCGGGGUAUGUUACACCUCGGGGCGUUUCUCCUGUCAUCGGUGUAUGGAUGGUACCUUUCUUUGUUUGGCUUUGGAUCCUUUGCCAAAAGCCUUCUUGGGUAUACCAAGCCCGAGGGUGCUCCUAGUUGGUCGCCUUCAGCCCUGAUUUUCGAUUGGUAUCGAUUGUGAACGUCUUACUAGGUCACGGCGGGACAAUUUGACCAGUUACUGUUUCAACUGCUUUGAAGCGACCGAGCUUCGCUCAUUUAGACCUUGAGUGAAGGCCUGCACUGCCCAGUCGUCGGAGACUGGUGGUAGUUCCAUUCGAAAGCGAGAUACGAACUCUCGCAACAUCUCAUUCUCCCUCUGUUUAAUCUUGAAGACGUCGAAUUUCCUUGUUGCUACUUUGAUAGCACCGGCAUGUGCCUUUAUAAAGGAAUCUGCCAGCAUGGCAAAUGAGUCUAUGGAGUUGGGAGCUAGGUUGUGAUACCACAUCAUUGCCCCCUUCGAGAGUGUUUCCUGAACUUCUUUAGUAAGACAGACUCGACCUCGUUGUCCUUUAUGUCGUUGCCCUUCACUGCGCAAGUGUCAGCAGUAACGUGCUCAUUGGGAUCUGAGGUCCCGUUGUAUUUUGGAAGGUCUGACAUUCUGAACUUUUUUGGAAUGGGCUUUGAAGCCGCUUCCUCUGGGAACAGCCUUUGUAUGAACUUCUUCAAAUCCACACUUUUUAGGAUCGAAGGUGCGCCCGGGAUUUGGUCGACCCUAGAGUUGUAAGUCUCGACCUUUUUGUCGCUGGCUUCUAUCUUCUUAUCUCCCGAUUCGAUCCUCUUUGUGAGGUCCUCGAGCAUCUUUACGAUGGAGGGGUCAGCUACUGACCCGUUGUUGCUUGACCUCUUCGGUACCUGCUCGGCCCGAGGAGCCAUCCCUGGUGCUACCGUGUUGGGAGUUUUCUGGUGACUUUGCAGUUGAGCAAUCGCUAGCUGUUGUGCCUACAACAUUUAAAAAAUAACAUUAAGGUUCACCUCCCGUUUCUCCCUAGCCGGGGUUUUCUAGGCUUGUUGUUGGUCUCCUUGGUGCACACUCUUGUCAGUGUGGGAGCUUAUAUCGACGUGUUGAGCAUCGCGUGAGACCGCGUCCGCGGAGAUCGGUUCCGGCGCGUUCUUAGGGUUUCAUGAUGGUAUGCCAGCACCUGGAACACCUACGCCAUUUUCUCCGUGGUUCUCAAGAUUGUUGUUUACUGAGUCGGACAUUUUGACCUGAAAUCAAAGAUCUUAGACAAGAAAAAGCGUGAAAGAUAACUUGCGUUAUGUUGUUAAACCACCAAGAAAAUAAUCACUAUUAUUUUUAGCCCCACGAUGGGCGCCAAACUGUUUAUCGUGAAAAUGGUAAUAACAAUUAAAUUUGAUUUAGUGGUUCUAAAAAUACGUGAUCUAUUUUUAUGCUAGUUGUUAGGCAGUUGAUGCUAUAUGAAAGACUUAGAAACGAAAUAAGAACUUAAGAACGAGGUGUUAAUCAAACCGAAUCGUUGUCUAUUGGUGCCUCGAGCUUGCCUAUCCGAGGGCCUCAAGGUCGAUUUCUGAAGCUCGAUUGGGAGCUAUCGAAGGCGGUCGAUGGCGAAUAACAAUUAUAAAUGGAUUAAGGGAGGCUCUUUAUGGCCAAUAAUAAGCAAUAAAUGACGAAUAAUGAGUAGAAUCACAAUAAAUGCGAGCAAUGAAUAAAGUGAAUGAAGUGAUAAGAUCAAGAAAAUAUGUUAGAGAACAGAGAGAAUAUUCUUGUAUAUUUAGUAUGGAGCAACAGAUGUUUACAAAAUGAUAUGGGUCCCCUUUAUAUAAGAGGGAGAAUCCCAACAUAGUACAAGUGCAUUUAUUACAAAGAUAUGGAGAUGAGACAUCUAACUAAUGCCAAGGUACGGGCUCAGACUGGCCUGACAAAUCUUGUCGGUUCCAGCUUCACGCCUUGGGAACUACCCAUUUUCUUCCCAUAACCGUAGAUCCCAUAUUGCCCCGAGGUCGAGCGUUGAUGGUCCUCGAGGGAUGAAACUCGAUUGUGAUUCCGAGCCUUCGAGACGUUAUAACGAAGGAAAAUUGGACCCUCCGAUUUUACCGUAUAUAUUUGUCAUUAACCAAAGUUUAAGGGGGAAAUUGGGAAUCAAAUUGAGCAGAAUUUUUUCUUUUAAUAGCUGAAAAGCUCUAGAAUACAGAUAAGGGAUCAUAAGGCAAUAAGGUGAGGAAGUUAGGUUAUAUUUGGGUUCAAAAAGGGUCAAUUUGAAAAGUUAACGGGUUAAAAGAAUAGGAAGAAAUUCUAGAAUUGGACAGCUGUCCAUUUUAGUUGCAAAAGAUGUCAAUUCCCUGAUUUUUAGGGAACUGGUAGAUUCUUUUUCAUUGCUAUGUGAUUCCUUCAUAUAGCACAUGCUUGCAUUCUAUAAAAAGGGACCCCCUCUCAUUCUCACACACAGAUUUUUACACGGAAAAACCUCUAAAUAUAGGGAUCCUUUUCUUCAUUUUGGGACUGAUUUUAGUUCACUCUCUCUUAGCCUUUACUCUAUAGUUUCAGAGACACUCCUCCGUUAGAAAAAGAACAAAAACUCUAAAAAAAAGAAAGAUUUCCAAAGCUGUUUCAUUUCUCUUCUUUGCUGCAUAUUUCUGGGAAAUUUGAGAAGGUUUUCUAAGUUCAAAAUUGCUGUUCGUAGCUGUUUGUGGACUGUCUUUGCUUGCUGAUCUCUAAGUUCCUUUCAGUCAACUCUAUUUCUCAUCUUUGUGUGUUUUUCUACGUAACAAGGUGCACAUUUCAACUUUGUUUUCUUUGGAACUAUAAUGAAAUGUUAAUUGCCCCUUCUGAAAAUCAUGUACUGUGAUCUAUUGUGCAUAAUUGUGAUUGAAAUGUUUGAUAUUGCUGAAACAUGAUAUAGACCUAAUAUCUAACUCUGUCCCAUGCUCAAUCUGUUUGUGCUCCCCUCCCCUUGAUUAGUACAUAUCUUUAGUUGAUUGUUUAAGGUGCUGGUCAUUGAUUAAUCUUACCUAGUAGAAUUCUAAAUGAUGUUUUCUUGGAAUCAAUAGUGACUGAUUGAAGCUUGUUUGGAUUCAUGUGACUGUUUCAUAUUGAAAAUAAUGUUAUGCAGGGCCUAUUUGUUUGUUUUAAACUUCAGGAAUGAGAUGAGAACUGGAUAGUGUUUGAAGAGAGAUAUUAAGAGCAGUAAUAUACAGAUAAGUCUUGCUAUUUACAAAUGGAAUUAAACCUGUUGGACUGGAGUUAGUUAACGAGUUGUAUGAUUUGACUUCUAUACCUUAUUUGUAUGAUAAGCUAAUUUAGUAUAAUAGUUGAUUCUGUUGUAUUAUUUUAAGCCUGUUGUAGUUAAAUACAGGCCCAUCUGAAUCUGUAGUUAUAGAGUGAUAAUUCUAUGGAAAUUUGUUUCUAAAUUAGAAUUCUGCAUUGGGCUUGGUAAAUCUUCAAGCCCAAAUCAGUAGAGUUCUAUUAAAUUGAAUUUGAGCAAUAAUAAUGAGCUCAUCUGAUAGUUUCUUAAGGCUUAGCUUGCUGGGUCCAGGCUUCAUAAGCAAGCCUAACUCAAGUCCAUUUAUUCCGAUAGAUUGUCUUGUAAACAAACCUGGAAAACCCAUCUGGACUUUAACCAUACUACUGUGGGAAUUUGAUGACAUCUAUUACCCUGUAUUGAAAAUCAUUAACUUUGGUAAAGACAAGGAAGAGUGACUUGUUUGCUCAAACAAACUCCAAGCGUUGUAUUUCCCAUUAUUUCAGCUGAAAGAUGAAAUGUUAGGAUUAAGCUCAUUCAUUUUUGAAGCCAUUUAACCGCAUUAGCCUUCACACUUUAAUGUCCUUGGCUUGAAAUACCCUCUUAUAACUUGACAUUCUAUGAAAUCAGACAUUAGUAUGGUUUUAGACGCAUUUUUUUCCAACUAAUCAAAUCAUCGUGACUAUGUACACGUUCGCGUGGCAUGAUUACGAUUUCAAAGAUAUAUAUUCGUAGCAAUGUUUUAGGCGCGCACUUAAUCGAUUGUCGCAAUUGUGUACACGUUCACGUGACAUGAUUAUGAUUCCCAAAAUAAUUCGAGGUAUGCGUUCGCACGACUUUGGCCAAACAAUCUAAUAUUAAUAAAGCGUGAUUAAUUGUGUACAUGUUCGCGUGAAAUGAUUUUAACACCCCAAAUAAACGGGUUUACACGCAUGUGAUCCGUUUCCAAGAUAAAUCCAUAAUUAAAAGCGGUCAAAAUGUAAAAUGCACAUAGGUUCAAAAAUACGUAAUUGAACGAUUAAUUAAGCCAGUAUGAUUAAAGCGACCGUGCUAAAACCACGGAACCCGGGAUGCCUAACACCUUCUUCUGGGUUAACGGAAUUCCUUACCCGGUCUUCUGGUUUUCACAGACUUUAGACGGAGUCAAAUUUCCUCGAUUUGGAAUUUAAAAUAAAUUGGUGACUUGGGGCACCAUAAACUAUUCCAAGUGAUGACUCUGAAUCUAAUAAAUAAUCCCAUUUCGAUUAACGUCAAUUAAAUUGAAAAAACUCCCUAUCCCCUCGGGAAAAAAGAGGUGUGACAAGGGAGAGGAUCAAGAGGUUCAUUGAUGGCCUCAACUAUAUCCUUCGGUAUGGUAUGGCCCAAGAGUCUGAGACAGAUGGUUGAUUUGACCAGAUGGUCGAGAUAGCUAGACGGUUGGAGCAUGUUUGCAUGCUUGAGAGAGAGUAGCAGGAGGCCAAGAGGCCUCGUGGUUCAGGUGGUUUUGGUGGUACCUCAUCUGAAGGCAAGUCAUAUCACAGAAGAGGUCGUCAUUUUAGGACCGAUCAGGCAACACGUUAGAUCCCGUAGUUCAUCAAUUAUCAAUAGCUCAUACAGUUCAGUCAUCAUUCAGUGCACUUCCGGCACAGAGUUCUUACGGUGCUUCAUCUACUCAGGGUUUCAUAGGCAGUUAUUCAAUUUAUCAAGGUUAGUCGUAGGGUCAUCAACCUCGUUAGAGGAGGGGUUGUCUCUAGUGUGGAGACUUAAGUCAUCUCAAGAAAGAUUGCCCUAGACUUUUGAGUAGUGCACCAGAGAAGCACACAACCUAUGGUUCCAGCACCAGUAGCUACACCACCCACAAAACCAGCUAGGUUAGGGCUCAUCGAUUCGAGGUCGCCUUAGAGGGAGAGGUCAGUCAAAUGGUUGACAUGCCGAUUAUUAUGCAUUUUCUGCCUGGACAGAGGUAGUUGCUUUCGAUGCCGUGAUCACGAGUAUUGUUUUAGUCUGCCACAGGGAUGCUUUAGUGUUAUUUGACCAUGGUUCCACUUGUUCUUAUGUUUCAUAAUAUUUUGUUCAUUAUCUGGAUAUGCCUUGCGAUUCCCUUGAUAUUUCUGUUCAUGUACAUACAUUGGUGGGUGAUUUCAUUGGGGGAUCAUAUAUAUCAGUCUUGUGUGGUUACCAUUGGGGGCUAUGAGACUAGACUUGAUCUUUUGUUUCUUAGCAUAGUAACUUUGAGGUGAUUUUAGGUAUGGAUUGACUAUCUCCAUACCAUGCUAUUCUUGAUUGUCACGCUAAGACCUUGACGUUGGCGAUUCUGGGUUUUCCUAGGUUGGAGUGGAGAUGUUCUUUUUGGCACGCUCCCAUUAGAGUAAUUUCAUAUUUGAAGGCUUAAUAGAUGGUUGAGAAUAGGUGUUUGGCGUAUUUGUCUUUCGUGAGAGAUGUUUGUGCUGAUACGCCUACUGGCAAGUCAAUCCUAAUGGUAAGGGAAUUUUCAGAUGCAUUUCCAGCAGACCUGUCGAAAGUUUACAGGUCAUGAGCAAAACUCUACUUUAGGAGACACCGGCGGUACUGAUGGGACCAGCUUAGACACCAGCGGUACUUGUUGCUAUGCCUGGUCUUUAGGAGACUUUUGCACAGAUCUUAAGUGUGUACACGAGCUUGGCUCAAGAGGGUAUAAUAUCUGUUCCACCAGCUACCUCUCAGACUAGGGGAGGAGCCUAGACUUCUAUCACCCGUACACCAAAGCAGCUAGCUCAAGGUUAUCAGACACUAGGGGUUUGGCCAGUUUAGCUAGUUGUUGCUGCUCGGGCUGAUGCUGGACCAUCUUUGACUAAUGAAUGAGGAGCAGAAGAGGUUAGAGAGAUUUCAAAGUCUUCAUCCUCCCCAGUUUAGUGGAGGAUAGUCAGAGCAUGCUCAUGGUUUUCUCGGUUAGUGUCAUCAGAUUCUUCGCACAACGAGUUUUAUGGACUCCAAUGGAGUCGGCUUCAUUACUUUUCAACUUACAAGGACAUCCUAUAGGUGGUGGUAGACCAAUAUCGGCUAGCAUAGCAACACGUACAUGGCAUCAGUUAUCAAUUCUCUUAUUAAAGAAGUUCGUCCCAUAGACUCGCAGAGAGAAGUUGCGUACAGAGUUUGAGCAUCUACGCCAAGAGGGAAUGACUGUGACCCAGUACUGUUACAUCCCAUAUCUUAAUAUUAGGAUGAGUCGUAGUAAUCCAUAUGAGCUUGAAGGGAUUAAGAUCAUUCAUGAGAUUAUAGAGGAUUUGUGACUAUGUUAUUGUAUGACCAUGUAAGUUUAACAGCCUUGAUACUGUUGUAUACAUUUGAUAUGGUCUUUUGAGUGGAAUAAUUUUUGUAAAAAAAAAAGUUUAAAAAAUAUGAUUUCAUAUAAUUAUUAAUAUUAUUAUUUUCGAAUAUGCUUUAAAUUAUACACAUAAUAUGAGAAAGUGUAUGAGAUUUUUUUAUUGUAAAGGUAGAAAUUAUUUUUUCUCACAAGAAAAAAUGGUUAUCUUUUUACCAUUUUAAGAAUUAAGUGUACAAAAAUUUGUACUCUUUAUAUGAGAUUAGGAAAAUUAGAAGUUGAGAAAAUAUAUGCAUUUUUACAUGGAUAUUUUAAUGAAAUAAUAGUGUGUAUAUUAAUUUUAUAUGAUACUACAUGACCAUGAUAGUAAGUUAUAUAAAGUGUAUUAAAAGUGAGUAGUAUUUUAGGUAAGUUGAGAUAAUUCUUAAUUAUGUGGAUAAUUGAUUAAUUAAAAUUUUUUGGAUAAUUAUUUAAGUGGGAUCUUGGAUAAUUACUAAGGGGACAAUAAUUUACAUGGAGCUAUGGGAUUAUGGCAGCAAAUUGCCACCAAUCCUUAUGCUUAAGGAGGUGGUGGCAAUAUUUAAGGUAUGUUCGCAUUAUCUUAUUUUGGUUAAAAGGUUCUAUUGAGAAGGCUUCUUUUAAUUCACAAAUUGAAAAAGUCUUAUGACCUUGUGAAGCUACAAAGCAACGGAUGAGUUCUUAAAAAUAGGAAUUCAUAUCAUGAUAUUAGGGAAGCGUUUGGAAUGACUGCAAGGUUGUAAGGAUUUUCCUCUACUUUGAUCCGGCGAUACGUGUUUUUUGUAAAAGAUGUGUGUUAGAGGGAUUGUCAGAACCGACUCAGGUAUGUUAAGGCUAAUCUUUCCUUCUUUUGACAUGAUUUAAGUAACGAUACGUAAACGUAAUGUUAUUUCAUAAAUGGUUCUACUCUUAGUAACUAAGAAGGUCUACGUUAUUCAUUCAUGUAAAAUGAUAUUCAAGCAUGUCUAAGUAUGUAUCUAGUCCCUAAUAAGGUAUAUGAUAGAGAUGUUAAUGUUUAUAAUAUAGUGAUACUUGCAUCUUCGCAUUUACCACCAAGCUACGACCGGUUUGGCAGUCAUUCACUUACCAUCGAGCUACAACCGGUUGGGCAGUCAUGCAUUUACCAUUGAGCUACGACCGGUCGGGCAGUUACCAUCGGUUGGACAGUUGUGUAUCAUUAUUUACCACCGGUUGGGCAGUCAUACAUCAUAUGAUAUGGAUAAUAGUCUCAAAGAGAAGCAUUAUAUAUAUGUAAGUAUAAUAAGUAUGCAUAUACGAUGGCAAUUCAGAGAUUCAGGUUGAUUCUUAUAUGUCUUUAAUUAAUGUUGACUUAUUAUUAUGUUUCAGUUCUGCCUUACAUACUCAAUACAUUAUUCGUACUAGCGUCCUUUUAUUGGGGACGCUGCAUUCAUGCUUGCAGGUAUAGAUAAUCAGAUUGAUGAGCCCUCAUAGUAGAUGAGGUUGGCAUUCAGCGAAGGAUCGGUAAGACUCAACCUCAUUUGGAGUGAAAUCGAGUCUAUAAGCCAUCGUGUCAGAGUUUGGCUACCGACUUAUGGGUAGGCCGGUACCCUGUCCCAUUUGAUGUCAAAUGAUCUUAGAUACUUUGUAGACAGAGGUUCAUUUUGUACAGUAUGUUAGAGGCCUUGAUGGCCUAUAUGUAUUCAGGUUUUAAGAAAUGGUUCAUUGAUACAGUGUUUUCCCACUUAUAGUUAUACAUUACGAGUUCUGGCCAUAUUGGCCCCUGAUAGUUGCAGAAGAAAAAAAA